Molecule: unclassified non-coding RNA, 424 nt
Filed under: Hevea brasiliensis (rubber tree)
Lineage: Eukaryota; Viridiplantae; Streptophyta; Magnoliopsida; Malpighiales; Euphorbiaceae
Source: RNAcentral
AAAAGUUUUGCACAAGAAACACAAGUAAGUCUAGAUCUCCUUUUGCAUUUGGUCCUUUUUUUUCGGCCUUAUUUUGUUGGACUCUGCGGAUGCAAUUGUGUCAAUCAUUUAACAGAGAAGCUUCCAAUUUAAUUACCAAAAGAUGCAAACAUGUGUUGUUUUUUUGCGCUUCCCCACAUAUGCCAUGAACAUAUUUUUGCAAGCAAUUGAUAUUUUUCCUCUUAUGUUUUUUCUAUUUUGCGUUUGGGUUAUUAGUUUUACUGAAGUUCAUGGAGUAUAUCUGUGUGUGCGUGUCUUAUUAUUUGCAUUGUGUAGGAAGAGCUGAAUUGACUGAAUACACCAGUGAUUCUUGAAUACUAUCAAUAGUUCCUUUCGUUCUAAUGCCAUUUUGGUUGUGCAGAUUACCUGUUCACUACUGCAUAAU